UACGGGAGGCAGCAGUGGGGAAUAUUGCACAAUGGGCGCAAGCCUGAUGCAGCCAUGCCGCGUGUAUGAAGAAGGCCUUCGGGUUGUAAAGUACUUUCAGCAGUGAGGAAGGUGGGUAUGUUAAUAGCAUACUCAUUUGACGUUAGCUGCAGAAGAAGCACCGGCUAACUCCGUGCCAGCAGCCGCGGUAAUACGGAGGGUGCGAGCGUUAAUCGGAAUUACUGGGCGUAAAGCGCAUGCAGGUGGUUUGUUAAGUCAGAUGUGAAAGCCCGGGGCUCAACCUCGGAAUUGCAUUUGAAACUGGCAAACUAGAGUACUGUAGAGGGGGUAGAAUUUCAGGUGUAGCGGUGAAAUGCGUAGAGAUCUGAAGGAAUACCGGUGGCGAAGGCGGCCCCCUGGACAGAUACUGACACUCAGAUGCGAAAGCGUGGGGAGCAAACAGGAUUAGACACCCUGGUAG
Molecule: ribosomal RNA, 460 nt
Filed under: uncultured bacterium
Lineage: Bacteria
Description: bacterial SSU rRNA
Rfam family: Bacterial small subunit ribosomal RNA
Source: RNAcentral